UUGUGACGCUUCACUGCAGUAUUGCUCAAAUUUUCUUGCAUGCAUGAAAAUUUGCAGCACAAGUACCAUGUCACGUUUUUUGAAUGGCAGGGUUAUGGUUAAGGCUUCUUAAAGUUCCCUAGUUGUUUAUUGGAGAACUGAAAUGAGUAAGCUUGGAGCAUUAGGAAAAUAUACAAAUCGUAAUGCUUUUCGCAUAAGCCUUACCAAUCCACUUAGGCUUUGAGAAGCUCAUGCUGUCUGAGCACACUUCACAUGCAAAUGGAAAUAAAGUAGGAAUUCCAGGGACAGUGGGUGGGAGGUUGCAAAAUACCUUCCAGGGUCACUGAAUUGUAUAUAAUUGUACGUUUUAUAAUCUUUUAUAGUCGGUUGUAUUUAAUCGUUUGAAUACUUCAUCAAUAUUUUGAUUUUUAAGGGAAUGCAG
RNAcentral lists this unclassified non-coding RNA (421 nucleotides) under Hevea brasiliensis (rubber tree). The record is from RNAcentral. Lineage: Eukaryota; Viridiplantae; Streptophyta; Magnoliopsida; Malpighiales; Euphorbiaceae.